AUACGGAGGGUGCAAGCGUUAAUCGGAAUUACUGGGCGUAAAGGGCGCGUAGGCGGUCUAUCAAGUCAGGUGUGAAAUCCCACGGCCCAACCGUGGAGGUGCAUCUGAAACUGAUAGACUUGAGUAUGGGAGAGGAAAGUGGAAUUCCCGGUGUAGAGGUGAAAUUCGUAGAUAUCGGGAGGAACACCAGUGGCGAAGGCGACUUUCUGGACCAAUACUGACGCUGAGGCGCGAAAGCGUGGGGAGCAAACAGGAUUAGAAACCCCAGUAGUCC
This 274-nucleotide ribosomal RNA is filed under the name uncultured bacterium. Its description in RNAcentral is "partial 16S ribosomal RNA". It matches the Rfam family "Bacterial small subunit ribosomal RNA", at positions 523 to 796 of the family's 1533-position model. The record is from RNAcentral.